Molecule: ribosomal RNA, 357 nt
Filed under: Salmonella enterica subsp. enterica serovar Infantis
Lineage: Bacteria; Pseudomonadati; Pseudomonadota; Gammaproteobacteria; Enterobacterales; Enterobacteriaceae
Also listed under: 2 other names
Description: partial 23S ribosomal RNA
Rfam family: Bacterial large subunit ribosomal RNA
Source: RNAcentral
CCAUAGGUUAAUGAGGCGAACCGGGGGAACUGAAACAUCUAAGUACCCCGAGGAAAAGAAAUCAACCGAGAUUCCCCCAGUAGCGGCGAGCGAACGGGGAGGAGCCCAGAGCCUGAAUCAGCAUGUGUGUUAGUGGAAGCGUCUGGAAAGGCGCGCGAUACAGGGUGACAGCCCCGUACACAAAAGCGCAUGUGCUGUGAGCUCGAUGAGUAGGGCGGGACACGUGGUAUCCUGUCUGAAUAUGGGGGGACCAUCCUCCAAGGCUAAAUACUCCUGACUGACCGAUAGUGAACCAGUACCGUGAGGGAAAGGCGAAAAGAACCCCGGCGAGGGGAGUGAAAAAGAACCUGAAACCGU